RNAcentral lists this ribosomal RNA (434 nucleotides) under uncultured Lachnospiraceae bacterium. RNAcentral describes it as "bacterial SSU rRNA". It matches the Rfam family "Bacterial small subunit ribosomal RNA", at positions 341 to 792 of the family's 1533-position model. Lineage: Bacteria; Bacillati; Bacillota; Clostridia; Lachnospirales; Lachnospiraceae. The record is from RNAcentral.
ACGGAAGGCAGCAGUGGGGAAUAUUGCACAAUGGGGGAAACCCUGAUGCAGCGACGCCGCGUGAGUGAAGAAGUAUUUCGGUAUGUAAAGCUCUAUCAGCAGGGAAGAAAAUGACGGUACCUGACUAAGAAGCCCCGGCUAACUACGUGCCAGCAGCCGCGGUAAUACGUAGGGGGCAAGCGUUAUCCGGAUUUACUGGGUGUAAAGGGAGCGUAGAUGGCAUGGCAAGUCUGAAGUGAAAGCUCGGGGCUCAACCCCGGAACUGCUUUGGAAACUGUCAAGCUAGAGUAUCGGAGAGGUAAGCGGAAUUCCUAGUGUAGCGGUGAAAUGCGUAGAUAUUAGGAGGAACACCAGUGGCGAAGGCGGCUUGCUGGACGAUAACUGACAUUGAGGCUCGAAAGCGUGGGGAGCAAACAGGAUUAGAUACCCUGGUA